Molecule: ribosomal RNA, 922 nt
Filed under: uncultured organism
Description: bacterial SSU rRNA
Rfam family: Bacterial small subunit ribosomal RNA
Source: RNAcentral
AAGCGAGCGUAGGCGCCCAGGUGUGUCAGGUGUGAAAUCCUGCGGCUAACCCGUAGAAUUGCGCCUGAAACUACCUGGCUUGAGUGUCGGAGAGGUAAGUGGAAUUCCUGGUGUAGCGGUGAAAUGCGUAGAUAUCAGGAGGAACACCAAUGGCGAAGGCAGCUUACUGGACGACAACUGACGCUGAGGCUCGAAAGCGUGGGGAGCGAAAGGGAUUAGAUACCCCUGUAGUCCACGCCGUAAACGUUGUACACUAGAUAUCGGGGGAUUCGACCCCCUCGGUGUCCCAGCUAACGCGAUAAGUGUACCGCCUGCGGACUACGGUCGCAAGACUAAAACGUAAAGGAAUUGGCGGGGCCCCGCACAAGCGGUGGAGCAUGUGGCUUAAUUCGAUGCAACGCGAAGAACCUUACCUGGGCUUGACAUGCAGUGGACCGGCAGUGAAAGCUGCCCUCUCUUCGGAGCCGCUGCACAGGUGCUGCAUGGCUGUCGUCAGCUCGUGUCGUGAGAUGUUCGGUUAAGUCCGGCAACGAGCGCAACCCCUGUCCUUAGUUGCCAGCAUUCAGUUGGGGACUCUAAGGAGACAAUCCUGCUCUGCAGGAGGGAAGGUGGGGAUGACGUCAAGUCAGUAUGGCCCUUACGUCCAGGGCUGCACACGUGCUACAAUGCCCGGUACAAUGGGAAGCAAUACCGCGAGGUGGAGCAAAUCCAUAAAACCGGGCCCAGUUCGGAUUGGAGUCUGCAACUCGACUCCAUGAAGCCGGAAUCGCUAGUAAUGGCGCAUCAGCAUUGGCGCCGUGAAUACGUUCCCGGGGCUUGCACACACCGCCCGUCAAAUCAUGAAAGCCGGUUCUGCCCGAAGUCUGUGAGCCAACCCGCAAGGGAGGCAGCGGCCUAAGGUAGGGCUGGUGAUUGGGAUUAA